CAGUCGCCGCGGUAAUACGAAGGGUGCAAGCGUUAAUCGGAAUUACUGGGCGUAAAGCGCACGCAGGCGGUUUGUUAAGUCAGAUGUGAAAUCCCCGAGCUUAACUUGGGAACUGCAUUUGAAACUGGCAAGCUAGAGUCUUGUAGAGGGGGGUAGAAUUCCAGGUGUAGCGGUGAAAUGCGUAGAGAUCUGGAGGAAUACCGGUGGCGAAGGCGGCCCCCUGGACAAAGACUGACGCUCAGGUGCGAAAGCGUGGGAAGCAAACAGGAUUAGAUACCCGAGUAGUCCCUGUCUCUUAUAA
Molecule: ribosomal RNA, 301 nt
Filed under: uncultured bacterium
Lineage: Bacteria
Description: partial 16S ribosomal RNA
Rfam family: Bacterial small subunit ribosomal RNA
Source: RNAcentral